AGCAGUAGCCGCGGGAAAACGUAGGGUGCAAGCGUUAAUCGGAAUUACUGGGCGUAAAGCGUGCGCAGGCGGUUAUAUAAGACAGAUGUGAAAUCCCCGGGCUCAACCUGGGAACUGCAUUUGUGACUGUAUAGCUAGAGUACGGCAGAGGGGGAUGGAAUUCCGCGUGUAGCAGUGAAAUGCGUAGAUAUGCGGAGGAACACCGAUGGCGAAGGCAAUCCCCUGGGCCUGUACUGACGCUCAUGCACGAAAGCGUGGGGAGCAAACAGGAUUAGAUACCGCGUAGUCCCUGUCUCUUAUACA
Molecule: ribosomal RNA, 303 nt
Filed under: uncultured bacterium
Lineage: Bacteria
Description: partial 16S ribosomal RNA
Rfam family: Bacterial small subunit ribosomal RNA
Source: RNAcentral